AUGUGCAGUGUGCAAAUGGAACGUGUCAUUCGCCUUUCAGAAGGACUGAGGCGGAGGUCCUGGAGGCGGAGGUCCUGGAGGCGGAGGUCCUGGAGGCGGAGGUCCUGGAGGCGGCGGUGGCCUGGAGGUCCUGGAAGCGUCCAACCUGGAAGGGGCGGCAUGGUGGGCCAGGUGGCGGCUCCUCAUCCAAAGGUCCUGGAGGCGGCCAACCUGGAAGGCCUGGAGACGGCGGCGGGCCUGGAGGUGGACGCCAACUUGGAGGUCCUGGAGUCGGUGGGCCUGGAGGCGGUGGUUGGGACCAACCUGGAGGGCCUGGAGGCGGUGGUUGGGACCAACCUGGAGGUCCUGGCGGCGGCGGCGGCUCCUCAUCCGGUUAAGCUAAACUCUUCUCCAGUGCAUCAUGAACGGGGAGGAAUGUCCGGGGUGCAAAUAGAACGCGUGUCUCAUUUCAGAAGAAAUGAGGCGACGUUGCGGUGGCCCAGGCGGUCGGCCCGGUGGAGGUCCUGGAGGACGGCUGGGGGAUCCGGCAGUGGAGGUCCGGAGGUGGCUCGUGAUUAGACCAACCAGCUCCUCAUCCAUGGAAGGUAAGCUCUUCAAUCUGAUCAAUUUGAUCAAAGAGCGCAGCCAUGAACUGGUGGUAUCGCCAUUUGGGGACUAAACUCUAAUGUUUAACUCAAGUAACUGCAGUGU
This 690-nucleotide long non-coding RNA is filed under the name Gadus morhua (Atlantic cod). RNAcentral describes it as "lncRNA (ENSGMOG00000024725.1)". The record is from RNAcentral. Lineage: Eukaryota; Metazoa; Chordata; Actinopteri; Gadiformes; Gadidae.